AGAGAUUGAUCCUGGCUCAGAAUGAACGCUGGCGGCGUGCUUAACACAUGCAAGUCGCACGAGAACGCUUCAGCUUGCUGAAGUUAGUAAAGUGGCGCACGGGUGAGUAACGCGUGGGUAAUCUACCUCCGAAUUGGGGAUAACAUUGCGAAAGCGAUGCUAAUACCGAAUAAUAUCUAAAAAAUCUCGGUUUUUAAGAUCAAAGAUGACCUCUACAUGUAAGUUAUUGUUUGGAGAUGAGCCCGCGUACCAUUAGCUUGUUGGUAGGGUAAUGGCCUACCAAGGCGACGAUGGUUAGCUGGUCUGAGAGGAUGAUCAGCCACACUGGAACUGACACACGGUCCAGACUCCUACGGGAGGCAGCAGUGAGGAAUUUUGCGCAAUGGGGGAAACCCUGACGCAGCAACGCCGCGUGAGUGAUGAAGGCUUUCGGGUCGUAAAGCUCUGUCAAGUGGGAAGAAACUGCAUGGUGCCAAUAUCACCGUGUACUGACGGUACCACUGAAGGAAGCACCGGCUAACUCCGUGCCAGCAGCCGCGGUAAUACGGGGGGUGCAAGCGUUAUUCGGAAUUACUGGGCGUAAAGAGCGCGUAGGCGGUCUCUUAAGUCAGAUGUGAAAGCCCGGGGCUCAACCCCGGAAGUGCAUUUGAAACUAAGGGACUUGAGUAUGGGAGAGGGAAGUGGAAUUCCUGGUGUAGCGGUGAAAUGCGUUGAUAUCCUGAAGAACACCGGUGGCGAAGGCGGCUCUCUGGAAUGGUACUGACACUGAGGCACGAAAGCGUGGGGAGCAAACAGGAUUAGAUACCCUGGUAGUCCACGCUGUAAACGGUGCGCACUUGGUGUGGGAGGUAUUGACCCCUUCCGUGCCGAAGCUAACGCGUUAAGUGCGCCGCCUGGGGAGUACGACCGCAAGGUUAAAACUCAAAGAAAUUGACGGGGGCCCGCACAAGCGGAGGAGCAUGUGGCUUAAUUCGAUGCAACGCGAAGAACCUUACCAGGGCUUGACAUGUAACUGCUAAUCCUGUGAAAGCAGGAUUCCUUUGAGGGUGUUACACAGGUGCUGCAUGGCUGUCGUCAGUUCGUGCCGUGAGGUGUUGGGUUAAGUCCCGCAACGAACGCAACCCCUGUGUUUAGUUGCCACCGCAGGUGAUGAGCCUGCGAGCACUCUAGACAGACUGCCCGUACAAGCGGGAGGAAGGUGGGGACGACGUCAAGUCAGUAUGGCCCUUACGCCCUGGGCUGCACACGUGCUACAAUGGCAGGUACAGAGGGACGCAAUACCGCGAGGUGGAGCAAAUCCCCAAAACCGGCCCCAGUUCGGAUUGGAGUCUGCAACUCGACUCCAUGAAGUUGGAUUCGCUAGUAACGGCGCAUCAGCUACGGCGCCGUGAAUACGUUCCCGGGCCUUGUACACACCGCCCGUCACAUCAUGAAAGCCGUCUGCACCCGAAGUCGCUGAGCCAACCCGCAAGGGAGGCAGGUGCCGAAGGUGUGGGUGGUGAUUGGGAUGAAGUCGUAACAAGGUA
Molecule: ribosomal RNA, 1526 nt
Filed under: uncultured prokaryote
Description: partial 16S ribosomal RNA
Rfam family: Bacterial small subunit ribosomal RNA
Source: RNAcentral